AAUCAACGCUGGCGGCGUGCCUAACACAUGCAAGUCGAACGGGAAAGUGGAGCAAUCCAUGAGUAUAGUGGCGACCGGGUGAGUAACACGUGACUAACCUACCUUCGAGUGGGGGAGUAACCUCGGGAACCGGGGACGUAAUACCGCAUAACAUCUUUGUUAUGAGAAAGACGAAGAUCAAAGGAAGCAAUUCGCUUGAAGAGGGGGUCGGCGGCUGAUUAGCUAGUUGGU
This 231-nucleotide ribosomal RNA is filed under the name uncultured bacterium. RNAcentral describes it as "partial 16S ribosomal RNA". It matches the Rfam family "Bacterial small subunit ribosomal RNA", at positions 32 to 253 of the family's 1533-position model. The record is from RNAcentral.